RNAcentral lists this ribosomal RNA (580 nucleotides) under uncultured rumen bacterium. Its description in RNAcentral is "bacterial SSU rRNA". It matches the Rfam family "Bacterial small subunit ribosomal RNA", at positions 193 to 789 of the family's 1533-position model. The record is from RNAcentral.
CAUUUCGACCAAAGGAUUUAUUCGCUGAAGGAUGGCCUCGCGUCCGAUUAGGCAGUUGGUGAGGUAACGGCCCACCAAACCUACGAUCGGUAGCCGAACUGAGAGGUUGAUCGGCCACAUUGGGACUGAGACACGGCCCAGACUCCUACGGGAGGCAGCAGUGGGGAAUAUUGGGCAAUGGGCGAAAGCCUGACCCAGCAACGCCGCGUGAAGGAAGACGGUCUUCGGAUUGUAAACUUCUUUGAUUGGGGAAGAACACAAUGACCUACCCAAAGAACAAGUCACGGCUAACUACGUGCCAGCAGCCGCGGUAAUACGUAGGUGACAAGCGUUAUCCGGAUUUACUGGGCGUAAAGGGCGUGUAGGCGGCCUUGCAAGUCAGAAGUGAAAUUCCCGGGCUCAACCCGGGCGCUGCUUCUGAAACUGUAGGGCUUGAGUGCUGGAGGGGAUAGCGGAAUUCCUAGUGGAGCGGUAAAAUGCGUAGAUAUUAGGAAGAACACCGGUGGCGAAGGCGGCUAUCUGGACAGUAACUGACGCUGAGGCGCGAAAGCGUGGGGAGCAAACAGGAUUAGAUACCCUG